UAUACAACUCUUCACG
Molecule: ribosomal RNA, 16 nt
Filed under: Porphyra purpurea
Lineage: Eukaryota; Rhodophyta; Bangiophyceae; Bangiales; Bangiaceae
Description: partial 5.8S ribosomal RNA
Source: RNAcentral